AUUGAACGCUGGCGGCAGGCUUAACACAUGCAAGUCGAGCGGGGAAAGGUAGCUUGCUACCUGACCUAGCGGCGGACGGGUGAGUAAUGCUUAGGAAUCUGCCUAUUAGUGGGGGACAACAUUCCGAAAGGAAUGCUAAUACCGCAUACGCCCUACGGGGGAAAGCAGGGGAUCUUCGGACCUUGCGCUAAUAGAUGAGCCUAAGUCAGAUUAGCUAGGUGGUGGGGUAAAGGCCUACCAAGGCGACGAUCUGUAGCGGGUCUGAGAGGAUGAUCCGCCACACUGGGACUGAGACACGGCCCAGACUCCUACGGGAGGCAGCAGUGGGGAAUAUUGGACAAUGGGCGGAAGCCUGAUCCAGCCAUGCCGCGUGUGUGAAGAAGGCCUUUUGGUUGUAAAGCACUUUAAGCGAGGAGGAGGCAACUUGGAUUAAUACUCUAGGAUAGUGGACGUUACUCGCAGAAUAAGCACCGGCUAACUCUGUGCCAGCCGCCGCAGUAA
RNAcentral lists this ribosomal RNA (501 nucleotides) under uncultured bacterium. RNAcentral describes it as "partial 16S ribosomal RNA". It matches the Rfam family "Bacterial small subunit ribosomal RNA", at positions 30 to 523 of the family's 1533-position model. The record is from RNAcentral.